UUCGACAACAACAACAGGGUUCGACAACAACAACAGGGUCCAAACAACAACAACAGGGUCCAAACAACAACAACAGGGUUCAAACAACAACAACAGGGUCCAAACAACAACAACAGGGUCCAACAACAACAACAGGGUUCGACAACAACAACAACAGGGUCCAACAGGUUGAAACCUUUAUCUCAUAGUGUUGUUUACUCACCGGUUACCGGACGGAGGACCAUCCCGUACAGACACAACGACAGCAUCGUGAUUUGUUUCAGCAACGCCAUUGACUUCACUCUGUUGUACAUUUUUUUGAUUUAACUCCCAACAAAAAAACUUAAUGUAUUUAUAUGUCUUUCACGUCAGCUCAAUAAGUUGAAGUGAAAUGUCCAGUAUGGAAGAAGACAUUGAAAAGUAAAUGAUCAGUGAUGAAGACGGCGUCAGAUUGUCCUGCUAACAGCUAGCUAACGUUAGCCAACACAACGUUAGCUGAAAAUUACCUCACUAACAUUAACAAUACACUGGUAGCGUUACUACAGGUAGCUAACUAUGUUAAAAUAAACUUGUUUGGGGGGGGGGGGGACGGUCUUAUGCCUACAAAGUCCAACUUUGCCGUAUUUUUUGUCCCCCUUUUCAAGGUAACUAGCUAACGUUAGCUAGCUAGCUCCUUUGCUAACGUUAGGCAGCCUUUGAUAGCUAACCGUCCAAGCUAGCUAGCUAGCUAACGUUAGGUAUUUAUUAUAUACAAAAAGGUCCGUCAAAUCCAAAUUCCAUGUUGACUAUUCCCAUUCCAUAGGUCUUUGUCUUAACAACGUCCAUCCAUUCAGGGUUUAUUUGGUCUAUUCAGGGGUUUAGUAAAUAGGUUUUAGUCCCGUCGGGGUGGAUAGCCGUCUCUUUCUGCAUUUGGCAUUGACCGUGGAGGCUCCGGGCAGGGCAGGGCACCGGACAGCGAGGCUCCGGGCAGCGAGGCACCGGACAGCGAGGCACCGGGCAGGGCAGGGCACCGGACAGCGAGGCUCCGGGCAGGACAGGGCACCAGACAGCGAGGCUCCGGGCAGCGAGGCACCGGACAGUGAGGCGCAGAGCAGGGCAGGGCACCGGACAGCGAGGCUCCGGGCAGGACAGGGCACCAGACAGCGAGGCUCCGGGCAGGGCAGGGCAGCAGACAGCGAGGCUCCGGGCAGGGCACCGGACAGCGAGGCUCCGGGCAGGGCAGGGCAGCAGACAGCGAGGCUCCGGGCAGGACAGGGCACCAGACAGCGAGGCUCCGGGCAGGACGGCGGCGGCGGGGGGAAACGCCUGGUUGUGUCUCCACUAUCAGGUUUGGUGGAUUUGUUUGGGUGGAUGAUGAACUGGAAGCUCCCUAUCUGCAGACAGG
RNAcentral lists this long non-coding RNA (1363 nucleotides) under Salmo salar (Atlantic salmon). RNAcentral's name for it is "lncRNA (ENSSSAG00000106390.1)". Lineage: Eukaryota; Metazoa; Chordata; Actinopteri; Salmoniformes; Salmonidae. The record is from RNAcentral.